UGGGGAAUAUUGGACAAUGGGCGAAAGCCUGAUCCAGCAAUACCGAGUGAGUGAUGAAGGCCCUGGGGUUGUAAAGCUCUUUUAGCAAGGAAGAUAAUGACGUUACUUGCAGAAAAAGCCCCGGCUAACUCCGUGCCAGCAGCCGCGGUAAGACGGAGGGGGCUAGCGUUGUUCGGAAUUACUGGGCGUAAAGAGUGCGUAGGCGGUUUAGUAAGUUGGAAGUGAAAGCCCGGGGCUUAACCUCGGAAUUGCUUUCAAAACUACUAAUCUAGAGUGUAGUAGGGGAUGAUGGAAUUCCUAGUGUAGAGGUGAAAUUCUUAGAUAUUAGGAGGAACACCGGUGGCGAAGGCGGUCAUCUGGGCUACAACUGACGCUGAUGCACGAAAGCGUGGGGAGCAAACA
RNAcentral lists this ribosomal RNA (402 nucleotides) under uncultured bacterium. RNAcentral's name for it is "bacterial SSU rRNA". It matches the Rfam family "Bacterial small subunit ribosomal RNA", at positions 355 to 774 of the family's 1533-position model. The record is from RNAcentral.